AAUACAAGUUUGUGAGGUAUAAGACGAGCCGAUGCUAUUCCCGACUGCAAUAUUUCACAAUUGUUUACAAUUUUACCGCUUUGGUACAAAAUACAUCCAAUACAUGUGUAUGACAUUAGGAAUGAUACGAUGCAGUUCUCAUACCUAAAUCAGUGGAAUGGCCUCUCUAAGUUGUCUUCAACUGCCUUGUUCCGUUUUUGAUCGCGUCGACAGGUGCCAUCUGUCCACAAGCUGUUCAAAGAAAGAGAGAGACGCGAAGUUAACAUCAAGAUACAUAAACCAUACGAUAAAGACAUGAAGCCAGGGUGGUUUAAACAAGUUAUGCUAAUCACAAUUACGACUUACACAAUUACGAGUGGAUCAAGGCACGACACAUACUGGGGAGAAAAAGCACCGAAGGGUUGUAUCCCUUGCCCAAAAAACAGAGAAGGAUUAUUCGAUACGCCAAUAUGUGGAACGAACAAAGUUGCUUACAAAAACCACUGCUAUUUACGGUUAAGAAAUUGUAUCGCUAAAUUACUCCGAAAACCUUUCGUCCAAGCCUCGAGAAAACCAGCUCUUUGUGGUUUGAGAAUG
This is a long non-coding RNA of Xenia sp. Carnegie-2017, 576 nucleotides long. RefSeq lists it as uncharacterized. The record is from RefSeq and is a predicted model, not a curated record. The transcript is spliced from 4 exons. Lineage: Eukaryota; Metazoa; Cnidaria; Anthozoa; Malacalcyonacea; Xeniidae.